GAAUUGACGGGGACCCGCACAAGCGGUGGAGCAUGUGGUUUAAUUCGAAGCAACGCGAAGAACCUUACCAAAUCUUGACAUCCUCUGAUCCCUCUAGAGAUAGAGGUUUCCCCUUCGGGGGACAGAGUGACAGGUGGUGCAUGGUUGUCGUCAGCUCGUGUCGUGAGAUGUUGGGUUAAGUCCCGCAACGAGCGCAACCCUUAAGCUUAGUUGCCAUCAUUAAGUUGGGCACUCUAA
Molecule: ribosomal RNA, 237 nt
Filed under: Staphylococcus epidermidis
Lineage: Bacteria; Bacillati; Bacillota; Bacilli; Caryophanales; Staphylococcaceae
Description: partial 16S ribosomal RNA
Rfam family: Bacterial small subunit ribosomal RNA
Source: RNAcentral